GCUAAGUUCUCCGAUAAUGAAGUCAAACAAACAAACGCCCCAAACACUCGAUGGGAUCCACGCCGUUUGCCGCCAAAAAGCUUUUUGGCCUGAGGUCGACACAUCAUCCUCAAAAUCACACCAGGAGUUUGAGACCCAUCUGUAAAGCAGUUUACAAAAGCAGGUGUGUUUCAUUGGGUGAUGUCCACGAUGGUUUACCCCGGUGACGAGGCUCUAGAGUGGAUUAUGCAGGAUGAAAUCGUGCUGACUACAACAUUAAAUCGUUGAUCAGCUUGGAGACGCUGCAAGGGGAACAGGCUCAUCUCCCAAAACCAUUCUGGACUGCAGUCAACCAGCCGGAGCGCAGGAGAAAUCCAGACUGCUGCUCGAGGACCUGAAGGAGGACAUUGAGCUGGGCCUGGAAGAAGCACAGUGGAAACAGGAGCGCAGGAGAAAUCCAGACUGCUGCUGGAGGACCUGGAGGAGGACAUUGAGCUGGGCCUGGGAGAAGCACAGCGUAAACAGGAGCGCAGGAGAAAUCCAGACUGCUGCUGGAGGACCUGGAGGAGGACAUUGAGCUGGGCCUGGGAGAAGCACAGCGGAAACAGGAGCGCAGGAGAAAUCCAGACUGCUGCUGGAGGACCUGGAGGAGGACAUUGAGCUGGGCCUGGGAG
This 653-nucleotide long non-coding RNA is filed under the name Danio rerio (zebrafish). RNAcentral describes it as "lncRNA si:dkey-183k8.1 (ENSDARG00000096832.2)". Lineage: Eukaryota; Metazoa; Chordata; Actinopteri; Cypriniformes; Danionidae. The record is from RNAcentral.